GGCCUGAUGGUCUAGUAGUAUGAUUCCUUGUUAGGGCGCUUAGCGAACUACUUCGAGGAGGUCCCGGGUUCAAUUCCCGGUUAGGCCC
Molecule: non-coding RNA, 88 nt
Organism: Flammula alnicola
Lineage: Eukaryota; Fungi; Basidiomycota; Agaricomycetes; Agaricales; Strophariaceae
Source: the annotation of a GenBank genome assembly